ACGAACGCUGGCGGCGUGCUUAACACAUGCCAGUCGAACGGAAAGGCCCUGCUUGCAGGGUACUCGAGUGGCGAACGGGUGAGUAACACGUGGGUGAUCUGCCCUGCACUUCGGGAUAAGCCUGGGAAACUGGGUCUAAUACCGGAUAGGAGCCAUUUUUAGUGUGAUGGUUGGAAAGUUUUUUCGGUGUAGGAUGAGCUCGCGGCCUAUCAGCUUGUUGGUGGGGUAAUGGCCUACCAAGGCGGCGACGGGUAGCCGGCCUGAGAGGGUGGACGGCCACAUUGGGACUGAGAUACGGCCCAGACUCCUACGGGAGGCAGCAGUGGGGAAUAUUGCACAAUGGGCGCAAGCCUGAUGCAGCGACGCCGCGUGGGGGAUGACGGCCUUCGGGUUGUAAACUCCUUUCGCUAGGGACGAAGCUUUUUGUGACGGUACCUAGAUAAGAAGCACCGGCUAACUACGU
Molecule: ribosomal RNA, 463 nt
Filed under: uncultured bacterium
Lineage: Bacteria
Description: partial 16S ribosomal RNA
Rfam family: Bacterial small subunit ribosomal RNA
Source: RNAcentral